AGCCGCAGGGAGGGUUGGGAAUCGGAUGAAGAACGAAGAAGGCACGAACGCGCGGGACGCGCGCCGAGAGUUCUCGGGCCAGUGGGUGGUGCCCGCGCCAUUGGCGCGCUCUGAAGCCCGGUUGCUUUGCGGGUCUCACCAGGGUCUGUGCACGUCUGCCUAGCUGUGUGUCGCUCUGUCUGCGUGUCGGCAUCUUAUCUCUGCGUUCCUCGUCCCGUUACGGUGUCUGUUUACAUCUGUCUCACGUGUCUUUACCCUUCUGUAUCUGUCUCCGCGCCAGGCCGCUGUGUCUCGGUGUGGUUGUGUUCCCCGAGUCUCGCGUAUUUCAGGCUUUCCUGGUGUGGUAGAGGGGUUUAGAAACGGCCUACGGGCGCUCCCCGAGGCGGACUCCCGGCUGCGAGGCCGGCUGCCGGCGCGGAAAUCCGGACUCAAAGCGCCCGCCGAGCGACGCAGCUUCCCCGCCUCGGAGGCCCGCGCUGCGCUCGCCGUGUAGGAGGAAUGAAUGGCAGCGUCGCGGUGACGCGGGGAAGCCCGGAGCGCCUGAGGACGCGGCGCGCGCUGCUGUGUGUCCCGAGGGAGUGGGGUGGGGGUGACGCAAGGUGCCCCCCGCCCUUAUUGCCGGGGACACGGAAGGGUCCCCCCACGCACCGAUGGGAACCCGCGCUCUUCUUCCUCCACCCUCUGUGCCCUCACCGCACCCCCGCUCCGGCCGGCCGUCAGCCACAGCGUCACCUGCCCGCUCGCAGGGGCUCUGGCGCAAUCCCUGGACGUGGAGGGGCGGGAUGUCGCCCGUGUGGCCACAGUGACGACAUCCCCGAGAAGAUAAGCAAACUGAGUCUGAAUCCAGACUCUCUCUCACUACUCGCGACACCGUUCUGCCUCCUGCUUGGGGACCUGAGAUUCCGGGGCGGGCAGUGGCUCAGAAGGCAAGGGCAUGCUUCUCAGCCUCAUCUGGUGACCAUCCACAAGCACGGUCCAUGCCGGAGCAGGAGGAGGUCGGAGGGCGAGCUGGGCGUCAAGACAUAGAUUGCACAUUUGCCACUACCUCAAGAAGCCAUCCCCCUUUCAGGAGGCCUGGGAGGCAGGGAGCGGGGCCAUGGAACAGUAGUAGGGUUUAGGCCUGGGAGGAAGGAAAAGUCUUCUUGCUCCAUCGCCAUCUCCACGCUGCGAGCAGGACGAGUCAGCCCCUUCCCCCAGCAUAGAAAACAGUGGGCACUCUUCCACCAGCCGACUGCAGCAGCGCCAGGCCUGGUGACGGAGUGACAAUAUGGAAGGCAGAUGGCAGAUGCAUGGAUGCCACACUAUUGCCUCGCAGUUAAAUAUUGCUUAGUGUUUUUUUUUUUUUUUCUUGUAAACCUCCCAAAUAAAAUGGUUUGCUUUCCUCA
RNAcentral lists this long non-coding RNA (1385 nucleotides) under Oryctolagus cuniculus (rabbit). Its description in RNAcentral is "lncRNA (ENSOCUG00000031637.1)". The record is from RNAcentral. Lineage: Eukaryota; Metazoa; Chordata; Mammalia; Lagomorpha; Leporidae.